This 528-nucleotide ribosomal RNA is filed under the name Triticum aestivum (bread wheat). RNAcentral describes it as "partial small subunit ribosomal RNA". The record is from RNAcentral. Lineage: Eukaryota; Viridiplantae; Streptophyta; Magnoliopsida; Poales; Poaceae.
AUGAAUUUCUGGGCCUGGAACUGUCGGGGGUUGGGAUUGACCUCGACAGUGGGUGAACUUAGGGAUCUCAUUCGAUCCCACAAUCCUUCGGUGGUUUUUCUUUGUGAAACUCUGAAAUCUGGCAGGGCAAUGGACAGACUCAAGUGGAGUAUGGGUUUCAAACAAGGUGUGUCAGUGGACUGUGUUGGCAGGAGUGGGGGCCUUGCAUUGUGGUGGCGGGAUGAUAUUAAGGUGUCAGUGAGGCCGUGGUGCCAAUACUACAUUGAUGCUGAGAUGAGUUGGGAGGGGAAGAACUAUAGAGUCACUGGAUUCUAUGGUGAACCAAAAACAGAACUUCGCAAUCGAUCCUGGGAUGCCAUACGAUAUUUGCGUGCGCAAGAUAAUCUCCCAUGGAUAUGCCUUGGUGAUUUUAAUGAGGCUAUGUUUUUGUCGGACCAGCGGGGCGGGAACCAACGUCCCACUACAAGAAAUAUGUCAACUAGUGACCUUCUGUCAGUGACCCUGGAAGAAUUGGUCAUAGAUCUAUGA